This 74-nucleotide transfer RNA is filed under the name Phrynosoma platyrhinos (Desert horned lizard). RNAcentral describes it as "tRNA-OTHER". It matches the Rfam family "tRNA". Rfam says of the family: Transfer RNA (tRNA) molecules are approximately 80 nucleotides in length. The record is from RNAcentral. Lineage: Eukaryota; Metazoa; Chordata; Lepidosauria; Squamata; Phrynosomatidae.
GUCUCUGUGGUGAAAUGGAUUAGGGCAUCUGGCUGUUAACCAGAAGGAUGGUGGUUCAAACCCACCCAGAGAUG